GUAGGUGAACCUGCGGAAGGAUCAUUAACACGUGAUACUCACGUAUUAACCACUUGUGAAAUUGUUAUCAGUCCCGUGAUCGAAUCGAGGUGGCAAUGGGAACAAUGGUGCGGGCUGCGUUCACGCGCAGCUCUGACCUGUUGUCUAGGCAUCAGAUGCCGAGCCCUUUUCGAUUGUGGUAGAUGAAGUUCGGGAGCUUAAUAAUGAUUGCACCUUAUCUUGCUUCUGGCCUGAGCCCGCUCACCCCUUUUAUUAUUAUAACUAAUCUGUAUGUCUAUUUGAAUUCCUGACUUCGGUUGGUCGAGUUCGUUUAGAUGUCGUAAAUUACAAAUACGAAACAACUCUUAGCAACGGAUAUCUUGGUUCUC
RNAcentral lists this unclassified non-coding RNA (368 nucleotides) under rhizosphere metagenome. Its description in RNAcentral is "partial ribosomal RNA internal transcribed spacer region". The record is from RNAcentral.